RNAcentral lists this unclassified non-coding RNA (336 nucleotides) under soil metagenome. Its description in RNAcentral is "partial contains 5.8S ribosomal RNA, internal transcribed spacer 2, and large subunit ribosomal RNA". The stretch from base 1 to 120 matches the Rfam family "5.8S ribosomal RNA", at positions 35 to 154 of the family's 154-position model. The record is from RNAcentral.
GAUGAAGAACGCAGCGAAAUGCGAUAAGUAGUGUGAAUUGCAGAAUUCAGUGAAUCAUCGAAUCUUUGAACGCACAUUGCGCCCCUUGGUAUUCCAUGGGGCAUGCCUGUUCGAGCGUCAUUUGUCCCUUCAAGCUUUGCUUGGUGUUGGGUGUUUGUCUCGCCUUUGCGUGUAGACUCGCCUUAAAAUAAUUGGCAGCCGGCGUAUUGAUUUCGGAGCGCAGUACAUCUCGCGCUUUGCACUCAUAACGACAGCGUCCAAAAGUACAUUUUACACUCUUGACCUCGGAUCAGGUAGGGAUACCCGCUGAACUUAAGCAUAUCAAUAAGCGGAGGA